AACACGUGAGAAACCUGCCUCGGAUUUUGGGAUAACAAAUGGAAACGUUUGCUAAUACCAAAUAACGUCGGAGAGUCACAUGACUUUCUGACGAAAGGAAUUCCGAUUCGAGAGGGUCUCGCGGCCUAUCAGCUUGUUGGCGGGGUAAUGGCCCACCAAGGCAACGACGGGUAGCUGGUCUGAGAGGAUGGUCAGCCACACUGGGACUGAGACACGGCCCAGACUCCUACGGGAGGCAGCAGUGGGGAAUCUUGCGCAAUGGGCGAAAGCCUGACGCAGCAACGCCGCGUGCGGGAAGAAGGCUUUCGGGCUGUAAACCGCUUUCAGCAGGAACGAAAAUGACGGUACCUGCAGAAGAAGGAGCGGCCAACUAUGUGCCAGCAGCCGCGGUGAUACAUAGGCUUCAAGCGUUGUCCGGAUUUAUUGGGCGUAAAGAGUUCGUAGGCGGUCGAGUAAGUCGGGUGUGAAAAUUCUGGGCUCAACCCAGAGACGCCACCCGAUACUGCUUAACUUGAGUUCGAUAGGGGAGUGGGGAAUUCCUAGUGUAGCGGUGAAAUGCGCAGAUAUUAGGAGG
This 574-nucleotide ribosomal RNA is filed under the name uncultured bacterium. RNAcentral's name for it is "bacterial SSU rRNA". It matches the Rfam family "Bacterial small subunit ribosomal RNA", at positions 112 to 704 of the family's 1533-position model. The record is from RNAcentral.